RNAcentral lists this ribosomal RNA (477 nucleotides) under uncultured bacterium. Its description in RNAcentral is "SSU rRNA". It matches the Rfam family "Bacterial small subunit ribosomal RNA", at positions 26 to 518 of the family's 1533-position model. The record is from RNAcentral.
AGGACGAACGCUGGCGGCGUGCUUAACACAUGCAAGUCGAACGGAAAGGCCCUUUCGGGGGUGCUCGAGUGGCGAACGGGUGAGUAACACGUGGGUGAUCUGCCCUGCACUUUGGGAUAAGCCUGGGAAACUGGGUCUAAUACCGGAUAGGACUACGAAUCGCAUGGUUUGUGGUGGAAAGCUUUUGCGGUGUGGGAUGGGCCCGCGGCCUAUCAGCUUGUUGGUGGGGUGAUGGCCUACCAAGGCGACGACGGGUAGCCGGCCUGAGAGGGUGUCCGGCCACACUGGGACUGAGAUACGGCCCAGACUCCUACGGGAGGCAGCAGUGGGGAAUAUUGCACAAUGGGCGCAAGCCUGAUGCAGCGACGCCGCGUGAGGGAUGACGGCCUUCGGGUUGUAAACCUCUUUCAGUACCGACGAAGCGCAAGUGACGGUAGGUACAGAAGAAGCACCGGCCAACUACGUGCCAGCAGCCGC